CGGGCUGUAGCUCAGCUUGGUAGAGCGCUUGGUUCGGGACCAAGAGGUCGCAGGUUCGAAUCCUGUCAGCCCGA
This 74-nucleotide transfer RNA is filed under the name Hyphomicrobium sp. RNAcentral's name for it is "tRNA-Pro". It matches the Rfam family "tRNA". From Rfam's summary of the family: Transfer RNA (tRNA) molecules are approximately 80 nucleotides in length. RNAcentral also lists the same sequence under 18 other names. Lineage: Bacteria; Pseudomonadati; Pseudomonadota; Alphaproteobacteria; Hyphomicrobiales; Hyphomicrobiaceae. The record is from RNAcentral.